AAAAGUUGGGAAACCACUGACUGCUGUGCAACCGUUGCAGUGUAUUCAGGUGUCUGAAGUGUGGGAACUUAUUGGUAUAGAUCUUACUGGACCUCUUCCUAAAACGUCAAGCGGCUUCCAGUAUAUACUUACUGCAACUGACUACUUUUCAAAAUGGGUUGAAGCUUUCCCAUUAAAAACGAAAUCUGCAUCUGAGGUAGCCAAUGAGAUGAAAAGACCAAUGACAACAUAAAAAGAGCCCUCCGAAAACUGGUGAAUGACCAGCAGAAUAACUGGGAUCUGUAUCUAGAUCCCACCCUGUUUUCACUGCGGUCAAA
This is a long non-coding RNA of Oreochromis aureus, 317 nucleotides long. RefSeq lists it as uncharacterized. The transcript has 3 exons. NCBI's taxonomy places the organism in Eukaryota, Metazoa, Chordata, Actinopteri, Cichliformes, Cichlidae. The record is from RefSeq and is a predicted model, not a curated record.